Molecule: ribosomal RNA, 305 nt
Filed under: uncultured bacterium
Lineage: Bacteria
Description: bacterial SSU rRNA
Rfam family: Bacterial small subunit ribosomal RNA
Source: RNAcentral
AAAGGCCUACGGGGGGCAGCAGUGGGGAAUAUUGCACAAUGGGGGAAACCCUGAUGCAGCGACGCCGCGUGAAGGAAGAAGUAUUUCGGUAUGUAAACUUCUAUCAGCAGGGAAGAAAAUGACGGUACCUGACUAAGAAGCCCCGGCUAACUACGUGCCAGCAGCCGCGGUAAUACGUAGGGGGCAAGCGUUAUCCGGAUUUACUGGGUGUAAAGGGAGCGUAGGCGGCGAUGCAAGUCAGAAGUGAAAGCCCGGGGCUCAACUCCGGGACUGCUUUUGAAACUGCAUGGCUAGAUUGAAGGGGG